This 468-nucleotide ribosomal RNA is filed under the name uncultured bacterium. Its description in RNAcentral is "partial 16S ribosomal RNA". It matches the Rfam family "Bacterial small subunit ribosomal RNA", at positions 28 to 507 of the family's 1533-position model. The record is from RNAcentral.
GACGAACGCUGGCGGCGUGCUUAACACAUGCAAGUCGAACGGAAAGGCCCUGCUUUUGUGGGGUGCUCGAGUGGCGAACGGGUGAGUAACACGUGAGUAACCUGCCCUUGACUUUGGGAUAACUUCAGGAAACUGGGGCUAAUACCGGAUAGGAGCUCCUGCUGCAUGGUGGGGGUUGGAAAGUUUCGGCGGUUGGGGAUGGACUCGCGGCUUAUCAGCUUGUUGGUGGGGUAGUGGCUUACCAAGGCUUUGACGGGUAGCCGGCCUGAGAGGGUGACCGGCCACAUUGGGACUGAGAUACGGCCCAGACUCCUACGGGAGGCAGCAGUGGGGAAUAUUGCACAAUGGGCGGAAGCCUGAUGCAGCAACGCCGCGUACGGGAUGACGGCCUUCGGGUUGUGAACCACUUUCGCCGGUGACGAAGCGUGAGUGACGGUAAUGGGUAAAGAAGCACCGGCUAACUACGUG